Molecule: ribosomal RNA, 549 nt
Filed under: Asaphis deflorata
Lineage: Eukaryota; Metazoa; Mollusca; Bivalvia; Cardiida; Psammobiidae
Description: SSU rRNA
Rfam family: Eukaryotic small subunit ribosomal RNA
Source: RNAcentral
UCCCAGUAGCAUAUGCUUGUCUCAAAGAUUAAGCCAUGCAGGUCUAAGUACAGGCCCUAUACGGCGAAACUGCGAAUGGCUCAUUAAAUCAGUUAUGGUUCCUUAGAUACAGCCCAUCCACUUGGACAACUGUGGAAAAUCUAGAGCUAAUACAUGCGACCAAGCUCCGACCUUCGGGGAAGAGCGCAUUUGUUAGUACAAAACCAACCCGGGUUCGCGCCCGGCCAUCUUGGUGACUCUGAACAACCUCGAGCCGAUCGCACGGCCUCGCGCCGGCGACGCAUCUUUCAAAUGUCUGCCCUAUCAACUGUCGAUGGUACGUGCUAUGCGUACCAUGGUUCUCACGGGUGACGGGGAAUCAGGGUUCGAUUCCGGAGAGGGAGCCUGAGAAACGGCUACCACAUCCAAGGAAGGCAGCAGGCACGCAAAUUACCCAAUGCCGACACGGCGAGGUAGUGACGAAAAAUAACAAUACGGGUCUCUAUCGAGGCCCCGUAAUUGGAAUGAGUACACUCUAAAUCCUUUAACGAGGAUCCAUUGGAGGCAAGU